AGCCACACCUUCUCUACACACAACCACACCUACUCUACACACAGCCACACCUACUCUACUUCAGCCACACCUACUCUACACACAGCCACACCUACUCUACACACAGCCACACCUACUCUACACACAGCCACAGCUACUCUACACACAGCCACACCUACUCUACACACAGCCACAGCUACUCUACACACAGCCACAGCUACUCUACACACCGCCGCAUCUACUCUACAACAGCCACAUCUACUCUACACACAACCACAUCUACUCUACACACAACCACACCUACUCUACUUAAGCCACACCUACUCUACUUAAGCCACAUCUACUCUACACACAGCCACAGCUACUCUACACACAGCCACACCUACUCUACACACAACCACACCUACUCUACACACAGCCACACCUACUCUACUUAAGCCACAUCUACUCUACACAGAGCCACACCUACUCUACACAGAGCCACACCUACUCUACACACAGCCACAUCUACUCUACACACAGCCACAUCUACUCUACACACAGCCACAUCUACACUACACACCACCGCAUCUACUGGUAAAUAUGUAAGGUCUGCUAUCAUGGGUUUUAAUGGUAAAUAUGUAAGGUCUGCUAUCAUUGGUAUUAAUGGUAAAUAUGUAAGGUCUGCUAUCAUGGGUUUUAAUGGUAAAUAUGUAAGGUCUUCUAUACACACCCUUGUUCAUGGGUUUUAAUGGUAAAUAUAUAAGGUCUUCUACACACACCCUUGUUCAUGCGUUUUAAUGGUAAAUAUGUAAGGUCUGCUAUCAUGGGUUUUAAUGGUAAAUAUGUAAGGUCUUCUACACACACCCUUGUUCAUGGGUUUUAAUGGUAAAUCGGUAAGGUCUUCUAUACACACCCUUGUUCAUGGGUUUUAAUGGUAAAUCUGUAAGGUCUGCUAUCAUGGGUUUUAAUGGUAAAUCUGUAAGGUCUUCUAUACACACCCUUGUUCAUGCGUUUUAAUGGUAAAUCUGUAAGGUCUUCUAUACACACCCUUGUUCAUGCGUUUUAAUGGUAAAUCUGUAAGGUCUUCUAUACACACCCUUGUUCAUGCGUUUUAAUGGUAAAUCUGUAAGGUCUUCUACACACACCCUUGUUCAUGGGUUUUAAUGGUAAAUCUGUAAGGUCUUCUAUCAUGGGUUUUAAUGGUAAAUAUGUAAGGUCUGCUAUCAUGGGUUUUAAUGGUAAAUCUGUAAGGUCUUCUAUACACACCCUUGUUCAUGGGUUUUAAUGGUAAAUCUGUAAGGUCUGCUAUCAUGGGUUUUAAUGGUAAAUCUGUAAGGUCUGCUAUCAUGGGUUUUAAUGGUAAAUCUGUAAGGUCUGCUAUCAUGGGUUUUAAUGGUAAAUCUGUAAGGUCUGCAUGGGAAGGCAUGAAGACAAGAAGUAUUCUUUAGUGUACUGAAAGUUAGAUGUGGUAGAUUUUAUUGUUAAACAGGGUAGUACAUAUUUCUUUCAUAUUCAGUUUUAUUUGAAGUGGUUAGAAUUGCAUGUUCAGAAAAUGUUUAUCAUUUUGAGGUCUAAGAACAUAUCAUUAAAUAUGUUUGAUUUAUCAAGUGGGGCUAUUUUGACUGUCUUUGUUGUUGUCAUUGUCAUUUGUGUUUAUAUUUAUUAAGUUGUUAAUAAAAUCAUUGCAUCCCAAUCAGAAUAAAAUUGUUAAUUGUCUUU
This 1680-nucleotide long non-coding RNA is filed under the name Haliotis rufescens (red abalone). Its description in RNAcentral is "uncharacterized LOC124147805, transcript variant X4". The record is from RNAcentral. Lineage: Eukaryota; Metazoa; Mollusca; Gastropoda; Lepetellida; Haliotidae.